AUUUGGGGUUGGAGAUGGCAUGAGAUGCAGAGCUCCUUGCGCCACUCUCUUUACAAAGGUGAUGUUUGCUCCCAUUCGUGGCUUGGUUUGCUAAAUUAGUUGUUAACUAGCAAUUCUUACAGAUAUGUGCUUUCAUUAAGAAGAAAAAGCUACCAUGCUAGAUUAGUUGAUCCAGGGCUGAAGUUGUAUACCAAAAUAAUGCUGAGAGGUGCUCUGUCAGAAGUACCUUGAGCCUUUUUAUUUUCAUAUUCUCUUUUGCGCACUCAUUUAAUGCCACUUGCAAUCUCAAGUAGAAAAUAUCAUAAAGAGCUUGAUGACCUCUGUCAUUAUCAGUCAUAUUAUAUUAAAGGGUGUUUAGGUGAUCAAUUAGUAAAUAAUCAACUGUGAGUGCUUAAUAUAGUAUAGUGUGUCAUAGAAAUUGCCAAAAUGUUCAGAAUUGGGAUAUCAAGGCUUAAGCUAAGGCACGCUAGCCACUUUGAACAUUGAGACUCAAAUGAGCAGGUCCCAUAAAUAAUAAACAUACCUCAUAUACCGGUUGUCAGUAAACCAACCACUAAGAUGGGCAGGCUCCACAAUUGAACUUCUGGUAAUCUUCAACAUCUAUCUCUUGGUUGUGUGUAUAGUGUAUAUGUCUCUUAUGCUUUUGCUACUAAUUAUGAUUUCCUUCAUUUGCUCAUUUGGCUUACAAUAAUAUAAGCGCCGGUUCUUUUCAUUGUGGAAGUUAUUAUUCUAUUCAGAUUGGUCCUAUCGGUGCUUGAUAAUGUACGAUUAACUGUGCCGAUAUCUCUAACCUACUACCACUCUGCAGAGUGUAGUCUUAGGUAUUGCCUGUACUAAUGCAAUUUUAUCUAAAGUGCUCAAUGAGGUCUUUGUAUUCUUCGAUUUACAGACUAUACAAAAGGAUCAGCAAAGGAGGACUCAAGUUUGCAACCACCACAGAGAUAAGGCUAUGGAACAUUAGUGCGUGGCUGUUCUGUGCAAUUUUUCUCACAUCAAGGUAUGCCUCCGUCUCACUGGGCCAGGGCUCGACUUGCCUACCACAUAUUUGUUUUGUUUGCUGCAGUGUUGUAAGAUUGGAGUGUGUUGAGUAUGCAAUCUUGAUUCCAGGAAAAAAAGAUUAUGCAGUCUAUCGCACAUGUUUGGUUUGGAGGGGGCCUGUAGAUGAUGGUUAUGAUUUUGUUUCCGUUCGGUGAUUUAUUCAAAUGAUUCAGAGUAAAUCCGAAGCCAUUUGUUGCCUCUUGAAUUUCUGGUUCUACCUCAUGCAAAAAAUCUCUCAUGGUUCUACUUCUACCUUAUGUAGAAAAGCAAAUAUUAUAUGUUGAUGAGCUUGUUGCUGUUUGGUACUGACCAUAUUAGUUCCCUAGGCUUGUAAAAAAAAAAAACUUCAUUUCUACCCUAUGAUUACGUGUCAAAGAUGUUUUGUAGAUUGCAAGUUUGAUUUCUUUUUCUUCAACAUGGUUGAUUUAGUUUCUCACCUUGCUGAAAAAUUCAGGUUGGAAUGUUGCCGGUCCAGCCUAUGCAGAUAAUGUAUCUGUUAUAAUGUGAUCAUGACAGAAAGUUAUUUAUUUGUUAUAUACCUGCAGCUCACUUUGUUCACUUCCACAGCACCAUUUCAUUUUUUGACAGUGGGUUAGACAAGUGUGGUUUUCAGGUGUAGUUGCCUAUUAGUUUUUUUUUUAGUUUUCCUGUCUCGGUUUCUUCCAGCCUAUAAGUUAUACUUAGUUUGAUUACUGCAUCUACAGUUUAUUUCUGCUUCUACUUCUAUUUCUACUAUAUUUCUGUAUUUACAUUUGAAUUUCUGUACCUACUUUAUUUGUGCUUCUACUUUUUUCUGCACCUACAGUUUCAGUGCUUUAUCUGCUCGUGGAGCUAUGGCUGUUGCAUUGGGCUAAGAUUUGAUUGCUUGCAGUAUGUCAAGGUGUAGGUGCAGACUCAUUGUUGAUAUUGAAUACUGGAGUAAGAAUGAUGAUCAAUGCUCUAAUGAACUUGCAUGAUGUAGCAUUACUAUUAGGAUAUAGCGUUAGGCACAUACUUUUUUUGACAGUGGGUAGACAAGUAUGCUUUCAGGUGUACUUGCCUAUUGUUUUUUUUGUUUUCCUGUGUCGAUUUCUCUUUUACUGUAAAGCAAAGGCUGACUGUUAGUAUUUGUCGAGUCGAGAGUUUUUUUACUUGGAAGAUCACAACAUUGCCAAUAGAAGAAUGAGUUUUAUAGCAAAUCAGGUUCAGACUUCUAUCUAAUUUCUUGGUUACAUCACCAUGAUGCUUGGAAUAUAAUUAAGACUUUGGGCCCACUGAACAUUAGAAGCUGCAUGGAGGAUGAGAUCAUCUAUGCCAGUGAUGGGAAGCGCACUGUGAUUGUGAGUAUCUGUAUAGAUCACAUUAAUCUACCAUGCUCACUAUCCAGUUACGCCACGCGCAAAUACCAUUGGCAGUGUAUUUCAACUAUGUGUAAUUGGCCGGCUAUAUCACAGCAGUGUACCAGUGUCUUGUGUUGGUGCUUGUCCAAUCAAACAUAGUUAUGUAACUGACAUCAUUUUGUCUUGUCUACCCAUGUCUUUUGUCUAGGCUGUAACACUAGCUGCAUACUACCUAUCUUUUUUAACCUGGCCAUGUAAGACACUUUGUUUUUAUCCAUGUUCAGUGCUGCUAUAUAGAAUCGAUGUUUUAUUUCCUCUUGCAUUCUGAAAGAUUGCCUUGGUUCGUACUGUUUAAGAGUGAUAUAUAAGAUGAGGGUUAUUCAGUAGAAUUUAUAUGCUUGGGAAAGGUUUUGAUAGAAAUCAGUGGAUGGUAACCAUGUCGUAGUGUGAUGUAAAUGCCAUUUGAAUCUUGAUGGUGGUAACCUGCUAUCUUUUCCUCUUUAUUGCUGACAUUUUGGUCUCUCAGAAUAUUUUAAUGUCAUUUGAAUCCAGAUAAUUUUGUUACUCAUGCAUAGAGCAUUUGCAUCUGAAAGGUGGCAUGCGUGAUUGCAACCAAUCUUACAUGUGUUUGUAUUGUUGUUUGAGCAGGAGCUUUUCAUCUAAGGAACUGCAAUGGCCAAAUCUCUUGUGACCGAUGACCCAACGGAGCCUUUUUUUGGGCGUGAACUGGUCACCUUAUGGUUCUAACUGGGAUGCAUGCUUUGUUGCAUGCUUAAAACACUAUUAUUGUAUCUGGCAUCAUAUCCACAUUAGCUUACUCCCUCUUCUGAACAUUGUAUUUUUUCCAUAUGAAAACCGAUUUAAGUUAUUCUACUAUCUGUAAUACAAUUCACAUUGCAUUGACAUCUACAUCUCCUACUUACUCACUACUAACACUAGAAGAACACCCGUGCGUUGCAACGGGGCUACAUUAA
RNAcentral lists this long non-coding RNA (3331 nucleotides) under Triticum aestivum (bread wheat). RNAcentral describes it as "long non-coding RNA (TAES_LNC025866)". The record is from RNAcentral. Lineage: Eukaryota; Viridiplantae; Streptophyta; Magnoliopsida; Poales; Poaceae.